This 335-nucleotide ribosomal RNA is filed under the name Pratylenchus penetrans. Its description in RNAcentral is "partial large subunit ribosomal RNA". It matches the Rfam family "Eukaryotic large subunit ribosomal RNA", at positions 656 to 965 of the family's 3401-position model. The record is from RNAcentral. Lineage: Eukaryota; Metazoa; Nematoda; Chromadorea; Rhabditida; Pratylenchidae.
GAAACACGGACCAAGGAGUUUAUCGUGUGCGCAAGUCAUUGGGUGUUGAAAACUCAAAGGCGCAAUGAAAGUAAAGAAUCCGCAAGGAUACGACGUGUGAUCUGAGCAAUCACGAUUGCCUGGAGCAACAUGGCCCCAUUCUGGUCGCUUGCGACGGGGUGGAGGAAGAGCGUACGCGGUGAGACCCGAAAGAUGGUGAACUAUUCCUGAGCAGGAUGAAGCCAGAGGAAACUCUGGUGGAAGUCCGAAGCGAUUCUGACGUGCAAAUCGAUCGUCUGACUUGGGUAUAGGGGCGAAAGACUAAUCGAACCAUCUAGUAGCUGGUUCCUUCCGAA